CAAGUCGAGCGGAAAGGCCCUUUCGGGGGUACUCGAGCGGCGAACGGGUGAGUAACACGUGAGUAAUCUGCCCUUCACUUGGGGAUAACCUCCGGAAACGGUGGCUAAUACCCGAUACGACCAUGGAUCGCAUGAUCUUGUGGUGGAAAGUUUUUCGGUGGGGGAUGUGCUCGCGGCCUAUCGGCUUGUUGGUGGGGUAAUGGCCUACCAAGGCUUCGACGGGUAGCCGGCCUGAGAGGGUGACCGGCCACACUGGGACUGAGACACCGGCCCAGACUCCUACGGGAGGCAGCAGUGGGGAAUAUUGGACAAUGGGCGGAAGCCUGAUCCAGCAACGCCCGCGUGAGGGGAUGACGGCCUUCGGGUUGUAAACCUCUUUCACCUGUGACGAAGCGAAAGUGACGGGUAGCGGGAGAAGAAGCACCGGCCAACUACGUGCCAGCAGCCGCGGUAAUACGUAGGGUGCGAGCGUUGUCCGGAAUUAUUGGGCGUAAAGGGCUCGUAGGCGGUUUGUCGCGUCGGGAGUGAAAACACCGGGCUUAACUCGGUGCUUGCUUUCGAUACGGGCAGACUAGAGGUAUGCAGGGGAGAACGGAAUUCCUGGUGUAGCGGUGAAAUGCGCAGAUAUCAGGAGGAACACCGGUGGCGAAGGCGGUUCUCUGGGCAUUACCUGACGCUGAGGAGCGAAAGUGUGGGGAGCGAACAGGAUUAGAUACCCUGGUAGUCCACACCGUAAACGUUGGGCGCUAGGUGUGGGGCCUAUUCCAUGGGUUCCGUGCCGCAGCUAACGCAUUAAGCGCCCCGCCUGGGGAGUACGGCCGCAAGGCUAAAACUCAAAGGAAUUGACGGGGGCCCGCACAAGCGGCGGAGCAUGCGGAUUAAUUCGAUGCAACGCGAAGAACCUUACCUGGGUUUGACAUAUGCCGGAAACAUCCAGAGAUGGGUGCCCUUUUAGUCGGUAUACAGGUGGUGCAUGGCUGUCGUCAGCUCGUGUCGUGAGAUGUUGGGUUAAGUCCCGCAACGAGCGCAACCCUCGUCCUAUGUUGCCAGCACGUCCUUCGGGAUGGUGGGGACUCAUAGGAGACUGCCGGGGUCAACUCGGAGGAAGGUGGGGAUGACGUCAAGUCAUCAUGCCCCUUAUGUCCAGGGCUUCACGCAUGCUACAAUGGCCGGUACAAAGGGCUGCGAUGCCGCAAGGCGGAGCGAAUCCCAAAAAGCCGGUCUCAGUUCGGAUUGGGGUCUGUAACUCGACCCCAUGAAGUCGGAGUCGCUAGUAAU
RNAcentral lists this ribosomal RNA (1278 nucleotides) under uncultured bacterium. Its description in RNAcentral is "bacterial SSU rRNA". It matches the Rfam family "Bacterial small subunit ribosomal RNA", at positions 58 to 1342 of the family's 1533-position model. The record is from RNAcentral.